GCCGGGGUGGCCGAGAGGUUCUAGGCGCUACAGUCUGGAACGCUGCGGUCGCAGGUUCGAAUCCUGCCUCCGGCA
Non-coding RNA from Schistocerca cancellata (South American locust), 75 nucleotides. NCBI's taxonomy places the organism in Eukaryota, Metazoa, Arthropoda, Insecta, Orthoptera, Acrididae. The record is from the annotation of a RefSeq genome assembly.